This is a long non-coding RNA of Columba livia (rock pigeon), 3322 nucleotides long. RefSeq lists it as uncharacterized. Lineage: Eukaryota; Metazoa; Chordata; Aves; Columbiformes; Columbidae. The transcript has 2 exons. The record is from RefSeq and is a predicted model, not a curated record.
CAGCCAGCUCCGUGCUGGGAAUUGUCGUCCUCUGCGUGGCGCAGUGCACGCCGGGAACUGUAGUGGACGUGUUGGGGCCGCGCCCCGGGCGGGGCGGGAGCGGCUCUCCCGGGCCUGCCCGGUCCCUGCCCGCCCCGCGGGGCGACGGGGGUUGCGGGCAGCAGGACGCGGACCCAGGCCGGCCCGGGACCGGGGGCUCGGUGGGAGCGCGCAGACCCGAGCCCGGCCGGGCCCGCGUCCCCGCGGAGCUCCCGCUGCACCGGGGCUCUGCAGUGGGGCGGCGCCGUUCGACCUGCGCGGGCCUCCCCGCCCCGCCGGGCGCGCGCUCCUCAUUGCCGCGAAACUCGGGAUUUGGGCCUUUUUUUGGGUUGUUUUUAUUUAAAUAAAACCCGCAACAGACCCCCUCCAACAGGCGGCUUGGCCGGGGCGGCGCGUUCUGAUUUUCCUUCUCAAUGUCAAUCGCGGUGCUGCUUAAAAUGUAAACAGCAGCAAAAUCCGGUGUCUCUCCUGGCGCCCAGGGCUUAAGUGUCGUCAAACCGGAUCAGCCGGUGCGCCCUCGGUCCCCUCCUUGCUCCGCGGCCGGCGUUUGGGAGGAUCCUCCCCCCGCAGCAGCUUCCCCGGGGCGGCGGGGAGGAUCCCCCCCGUUCCGGGAUGUGCUGUAAUUUCAGAUUUCACUAAUGAGCUUGCCUGUGUGACCUGCACACCUUGUCUGUGUUGCCCUUUGCUUUGGGGAUUGAUGGUUGAAGCACCUAAUCCUGCCCACCCGGCCUCUGCCUUUAAUUGUUCUGAGAUUUGAGAACUUGCUCUGUAUCACCGCACGGGGACUGGCCGUGGAUGAAUAAAAUUAAUCACAAGUAGUGCUAAGAAACAGAAAAUGAGGGAGAAAAUUGUUUCUGCUAAUGAUUCUUUUCCAUUUUGUAUUGACAUGGCCGGCUGCGUGCUUCCCUCUGCCAGCUCGGGCACCGUGCCGUGGACCUGUUGCUGUGGAUUCAAGGUGUUCCUGGGUUUGCUGGGAGACCAGUGCGAAAAAUUUAGAUUCCAGCAACCUAGAGAAGGAAAGCAGCCGUCCCUCAGGUAGCCUGCUCCCACCUCACUUGGAGUCUCGCCUGCUUGUUGGGUUGGAGGCCAACAGAGAACCUGCGGAGGCUGAGUGUGGAUCUCCCACCUCCUGCCUGUUGUGGAGUCGGCCUAAGAUAACACUUCUGGUUUGGUCCAGGGCAGCACAGAAGUGGGCUCGUUUCUGGUGUGAUUCACGUAUUCCACUUUCAGAGCAGAAGAUGGACGUUGAUGAGACUAUAAAAUGGGCAUGCUUGCUUGAGACAUCCUUCCUUACCCUUUGAAGUGCACAGAAGUGUUCCCACUGAUUCCAAUGCGAAAAGCUGCCUCUUUGUCUAGUGUGUUGGUCCGUAUGGCAGUUAGUAUUUCAUAAUGAUUGGAAGGGAAAAGGACCAGGGACUGAUUAAUGAAGACUUUGGAUGCUUGAAGACCAGGGUAUUUUAAACAGUACAUGUAAUUUGCAGAUCAGUAAUUUAGUAGUUUGUUUGGUUGUGUGUUUGUUUUAAAAAAAAACACACCCAAACUGAUCCAGUUAGCAUCUUAGCGGUGGCUAAAAUUGAGUGUAAAAGACAGCCAGUUACAACUGAAAACCUUGCACUGUGAGACCACCUGUUAUUCCUGUGGUAACAAAAAUAGCCUGCAGAACAACUGAAGAUGAGCUGAAAGCAAGACAUUGAAAUCAAAUUGCAGGCUAGGUUAUCUGACAGCGUCCUUCACAGUGCCAGUGACCACCUGGAGUCCAGCAUUAUGUGAGGACUGGCAUGCAUAGCAGCCAGAGCCCAUCUCAGUCAUGUAGGGAAUCACUUUCCAAAUGGAGUUUUCCUGCCAACGGGGUUUGUUUGCUUGGUGAUAAGAAACAAUGGUCAACUCAGUUUGUUACUUGAGCAUUUUAGUGACGGAGAAGUGGAAUCUGGCAUCGCGUGCUAAAUCCAUUUUCUUAGCUAAUCAAAUGCCAACUUGGCAGCCUCUCUAGAAAGCUGAUAGCACUGGGACAGGCGUUAUUGUGGGAAUUGUUUUCAACAAUCUCUAGUAAGUCUGCUUUUAAGACACCUCUUUCUGUUGGGGAAAAAACACAGUUAUCACCUUCAGGACUGGCAGAGAGAAGAAAAAGGCAUGGGCAUUGUCUGCAGCUUAAUAUUGUACUUGUUGAAGUACUGUAAAAACAGGAAUGGAUCUAGCUUUGAGUAAGCUUAGUACAUAUUUACUGGAGUGGUGUUAGCCAUAGCUGAGAGCAGGGAAAAGAAUGGCACAGAGGACCUAAUUCCCCUUGUUUUGUUGGAAGAGGGACAACAAGAGGAGACACGACUUUUCCAAUUACAGAUGAGGGAUUCGAUCUGUUCUUCUGCUAAAAAAUAUGUAGUUAUACCUCAUUUUUUGCAUCUGGGGUCAACUUAAACUAGAACAUAAACUCAUUUCUCUCACAGGCCUUUCCAGUUGUCAGAAAUAGCUAGAAAGCAGAAAUACUUUGCCAAAACCCUUCGAUCUGGGAAAAGCACCGUGCACUUGCAGUGUGACGGUGCCGAGUUGGUGCACUGUCUUGGUGCCUCUUGGUGCCACCCCGUGUGGCUGGAGAAUCAGAGCAAGACUGUCCUUGAGCACAGCACAAUAACACCCAGGUCUCAAGUUGUGACCCCGUGGUGUGCAGCUUCCUAAAGUCCUGAGACUUGACCUUUGGAUAAAACUCGAUGCUACUUGACAAAGCUUGAGAGUGGUAUCCAGGGAGAGGACAACUCGAUCUAGGUUACAUAUCCUUACUUUACUGAUGUCACAAACAAGUUGUUAUUCUUGUAGACUGCAGAAAGCCUCACAACCACAAAACCAGCAAUAAUUUUAUAAAUGAUAAGCUUGUUUUCCUCCUCCUCUUCCCAACAUGCUCCAAGUGCAGCAGGCAGCAGAGAUGCUGGAAUCCAGAGAGUUUCAUAACAUGGCAGCCGCUUGCUGAAAGCCUUGCAGAUACAAAACAACACUUAUUUUCAGUCUUGAGAAACAUCUCCUACUAAAUAGAAGAAAAAAGCAUUUAGGUGAAGCAAUGUUGCCAAUCCCAUUUGUUUGUGAGGCUUGUUUUCCAUCUUUCCACAUUUUAAAUGCUUCUUAUUUUCAUUCUGCCUUUUGAGCCGUUCAAGUUCAUGUUUUCCAUUUUUUUCCGUAUGACAAGAAAGUCUGGAAUCAAGUCCUUACUUUAAAACCGAAAAUCUGGUUGAGAGUCCCAUAUAAUCAUAUAGCUCGAGACAUACGGUGUUUAAAAAUAAAGCCACUUCCAUGAGAA